RNAcentral lists this ribosomal RNA (492 nucleotides) under uncultured bacterium. RNAcentral's name for it is "partial 16S ribosomal RNA". It matches the Rfam family "Bacterial small subunit ribosomal RNA", at positions 29 to 507 of the family's 1533-position model. The record is from RNAcentral.
AGUGAACGCUGGCGGUAGGCCUAACACAUGCAAGUCGAACGGCAGCACAGUAAGAGCUUGCUCUUACGGGUGGCGAGUGGCGGACGGGUGAGGAAUACAUCGGAAUCUACUUUUUCGUGGGGGAUAACGUAGGGAAACUUACGCUAAUACCGCAUACGACCUACGGGUGAAAGCAGGGGAUCUUCGGACCUUGCGCGAUUGAAUGAGCCGCUGUCGGAUUAGCUAGUUGGCGGGGUAAAGGCCCACCAAGGCGGCGAUCCGUAGCUGGUCUGAGAGGAUGAUCAGCCACACUGGAGCGGAGACACGGUCCAGACUCCUACGGGAGGCAGCAGUGGGGAAUAGGGGACAAUGGGCGCAAGCCUGAUACAGCCAGACCGAGUGGGUGAAGAAGGCCUUCGGGUUGCAAAGCCCUUUUGUUGGGAAAGAAAAGCAGCAGGUUAAUACCCCGCUGUUCUGACGGUACCCAAAGAAUAAGCACCGGCUAACUUCGUG